Molecule: long non-coding RNA, 1726 nt
Organism: Phyllopteryx taeniolatus (common seadragon)
Lineage: Eukaryota; Metazoa; Chordata; Actinopteri; Syngnathiformes; Syngnathidae
Exons: 3
Source: RefSeq, a predicted model, not a curated record
GGGACAUUGGCCUCAAGCAACCCAGUGCUUGCCGGACGGCCGCAUCUACAUUGCCUCCCGGGCCGAGUCGUGCCCCGUGUCCGAGUACCCCAAGCACAGGGUUUCCACUAUUUAGAACUACAUUCAGCCUUAUGUUUGCAUUCUUCGGUAGCGUCUACCUGAGGGAAGGAGCUGGAAGAGGCGGUGACCAGGAUGUGGAGGGUCAAAGAGGAUUUUGCAUGCUCUUGUCUAUGUUCUGGCAGCGUGCAAGUCCUCAAGGCAGCACCAAACCAGACUGUGAUGGAAGAACACAGGACUGAUUUGAGGACUGCUGUAUAGAACUGCUCAACAGCUCCUGUGGCAGGCCGUGCUUCCUCAGAAGCCGCAGGAAGUAUAUUCUCUGACUGACUGAAUGAUUGACUUGACAAACAAAAUUCAGUUUGAUAAAGAAAACACAUUUAAAGUUUUCCAACAAAACAUACAGAAAAAAUUAUGAGACUGUUAAUUUAAAAUAAAGAUGCCUUUAAGAGCUGCAUUGCUCAGGUGGUAAAGAGGUCGUCUCCCAACCCAAAAGUUGAGUUCGAUCCUCGGCCCUUGUGACUAUGUCCAAGUGUCUUGAGCAAGAUACUGAACCCCCAGUUGCUCCUGAUGCUGCUUUAUCAUUAGGUACAUGAGGGGACAGUGUCAAAGCGCUUUGAGGACCUUGAUGGUCGAAAAGCACUAUACAAGUGAAAGCCCAUUCACCAUAUUAAACAGUAUAUGUGGUGUACUGCUGUACCUCACUUUCUAUUGUUAUUCUUAAAUUAGCUUCACAAAAGAGAUUGUAAUCCCCCCCCCCCACAAACCACUGUGCAGGCAAGCCAUGAAUCUCUCAAAUGAGGUUUUAGAAUGAAAUUUAACACCCAAAUCCAACACUCAUAUAUCUAAAUAAAUGAAACUGUGGCAAAGGUUUCGUUCUAUUUCCCAUUGAAAGGUACAGUUAAGAAGUCCUUGGUUCUUGUAUACAAUGAAAAUCUUCCCCACAAGACUUGAACAAGUAUUUGAUAAAUUAAAGAAGACAUCAAUGUUUUAUACACAAUUGCAACAAAUGUAAAAACAAUGCAUAAGACAAGGACAUUUCUACAGCAAGCGAGGUCCAUAAAGACAAGGUUGCCGUGACUGGCCCACACAGCCUGACAUCAACCCCAUUUAACACCUUUGAGAUAAACUGAUAUAAUGAUGAUAUGAUGAUAAUGGCCACUGAUGGUGUAGUGGUACACUCGCCUGACUUUGGUGCGGGCAGCGUGGGUUCAGUCCCCACUCAGUGACGGUGUGAAUGUGAGUGCGAAUGGUUGUCCAUGUCUAUAUGUGCCCUGCGACUGACUGGCGACCAGUUCAGGGUGUUGUCCGCCUUUCGCCCAAAGUUAGCUGGGAUAGGCUCCAGCGCCCCGCGACCCUAACCAGAAUAAGCGGUGUUGAAAAUGGAUGGAUGGAUGAUGAUAAUGAUAUGAGAUAAAGAUUGUGAAUAAAGCCAACUCAUCCACCAUACAGGAACUAAUCGUGUCAGCCCUAUUUUCAGUUACUGUAGAUGUAAUGGGCAGGUGUCCCAAUAAUUUCCCCAUAUAGUACAUUCCCCUCAGUUAAUGCUUUGUGCACUGAACCAGAUAACAAUCUCAAACCUUUUGGCGACUUCUGUGUGACAACAAGCAGGAAGCAGCACAUUUAUGUGUCAUGUCUGUAAUAAGUAGUUUGGUUGGCAGCAGGUGUC